GACCAGGGCGGCCGCGGGAAUUCGAUUCAGGCCUAACACAUGCAAGUCGAGCGAUGAAGAUCCUUCGGGAGUGGAUUAGCGGCGGACGGGUGAGUAACACGUGGGUAACCUGCCUGAGAGAGGGGAAUAGCCUGCCGAAAGGAAGAUUAAUACCGCAUAACAUUGUAGUUUCGCAUGAAACAGCAAUUAAAGGAGUAAUCCGCUAUGAGAUGGACCCGCGUCGCAUUAGCUAGUUGGUGAGGUAACGGCUCACCAAGGCAAAGAUGGGUAGCCGCCCUGGGGGGGUGGUCGGCCACAGUGGGACUGAGACACGGCUCAGACUCCUACGGGAGGCAGCAGUGGGGAAUAU
Molecule: ribosomal RNA, 349 nt
Filed under: uncultured bacterium
Lineage: Bacteria
Description: bacterial SSU rRNA
Rfam family: Bacterial small subunit ribosomal RNA
Source: RNAcentral